Long non-coding RNA from Micropterus dolomieu (smallmouth bass), 640 nucleotides. RefSeq lists it as uncharacterized. The transcript is spliced from 4 exons. The record is from RefSeq and is a predicted model, not a curated record. NCBI's taxonomy places the organism in Eukaryota, Metazoa, Chordata, Actinopteri, Centrarchiformes, Centrarchidae.
AGAGAUACUAGUAAGACUGGUUGCCAUGGCAAUGCAUGUGAAUUUGGGGCCAGAUCUCUUGAGAGAGUACUGAAGGGAGUGGUGUAUUUGUUUGGCAGUUGAGUUCAAAUAUCAACAAUCUCUCCUCAGAAUUGCUUACUAUCCCUUUAAAUCAUGUUAGAAAUAGGCCCACAUGACCCUCAGUGUCAGAAACAGCCAAGAGAGUGGAGGAGCGGCAGCUGAGACCAGGACAGCUCAUAUAGUGGAAACUGAAAGUUAUUCCAAGGGUAGAUCAAGAGAUAAAGUGGCUGACAAACAUUCCUGAGGAGCUACCUGGAGUCAGGCCCUCCCUAUAGUCUACUUAAGUCAACCUAUCAACGCCCUAGAGACGCAGAAUCAAGGAGGAGCAGAACUCUAAGUAUGGCUCCAACAAGAGAUGAAGGGGGCUCACAGAGACUGCUUAUGUGUAGGGCCCAGAAUUGUACGCUACACCCCUGCACAACAAUACAGAGAGAGACAGAUUGAGUAAGAGAGAGCAGUCCUGCGACUGCCUGCUGAUGCUGGAGCACCAACACGUUGUGUCUUUCCCCAAGAAAGGGAAACUGGGAAACCAAAAAAAGAGAAGAAAGAAAGGAAAGAGAAGGAAAAACAAACUAAGGGA